CGCGGCCUAUCAGCUUGUUGGUGAGGUAACGGCUCACCAAGGCAUCGACGGGUAGCUGGUCUGAGAGGACGAUCAGCCACACUGGGACUGAGACACGGCCCAGACUCCUACGGGAGGCAGCAGUAGGGAAUCUUGCGCAAUGGGGGCAACCCUGACGCAGCAACGCCGCGUGUGGGAUGACGGCUUUCGGGUUGUAAACCACUUUCAGUGAUGACGAAAAUGACGGUAAUCACAGAAGAAGGUCCGGCCAACUACGUGCCAGCAGCCGCGGUAACACGUAGGGACCGAGCGUUGUCCGGAUUUAUUGGGCGUAAAGAGCUCGUAGGCGGUUCUGUAAGUCGGAUGUGAAAACUCAGGGCUCAACCCUGAGACGCCAUCUGAUACUGCAGUGACUAGAGUCCGGUAGAGGAAGAUGGAAUUCCUGGUGUAGCGGUGGAAUGCGCAGAUAUCAGGAGGAACACCAGCGGCGAAGGCGGCACUCUGGGCCGGUACUGACGCUGAGGAGCGAAAGCAUGGGGAGCAAACAGGAUUAGAUACCCUGGUAGUCCAUGCCGUAAACGUUGGGCACUAGGUAUGGGAUCAUAUCAACGGAUUCCGUGCCGUAGCUAACGCAUUAAGUGCCCCGCCUGGGGAGUACGG
This 639-nucleotide ribosomal RNA is filed under the name uncultured Actinomycetes bacterium. Its description in RNAcentral is "bacterial SSU rRNA". It matches the Rfam family "Bacterial small subunit ribosomal RNA", at positions 232 to 885 of the family's 1533-position model. The record is from RNAcentral. Lineage: Bacteria; Bacillati; Actinomycetota; Actinomycetes.